GGAGGAUCCAAGCGUUAUCCGGAAUCAUUGGGUUUAAAGGGUCCGUAGGCGGUCUUGUAAGUMAGUGGUGAAAGCCCAUCGCUCAACGGUGGAACGGCCAUUGAUACUGCUGGACUUGAAUUAUUAGGAAGUAACUAGAAUAUGUAGUGUAGCGGUGAAAUGCUUAGAGAUUACAUGGAAUAGCAAUUGCGAAGGCAGGUUACUACUAAUGGAUUGACGCUGAUGGACGAAAGCGUGGGUAGCGAACAGGAUUAGAUACCCUGGUAGUCCACGCCGUAAACGAUGGAUACUAGCUGUUGGAAGCAAUUUCAGUGGCUAAGCGAAAGUGAUAAGUAUCCCACCUGGGGAGUACGUUCGCAAGAAUG
RNAcentral lists this ribosomal RNA (365 nucleotides) under uncultured bacterium. RNAcentral describes it as "bacterial SSU rRNA". It matches the Rfam family "Bacterial small subunit ribosomal RNA", at positions 527 to 896 of the family's 1533-position model. The record is from RNAcentral.